This is a long non-coding RNA of Mobula hypostoma (lesser devil ray), 2351 nucleotides long. RefSeq lists it as uncharacterized. The transcript is spliced from 3 exons. NCBI's taxonomy places the organism in Eukaryota, Metazoa, Chordata, Chondrichthyes, Myliobatiformes, Myliobatidae. The record is from RefSeq and is a predicted model, not a curated record.
GACUCUGUACUGAACGUGAAGUUCAGUGAAGGAGUGCUGACUUGGGCUAACUGCCCAGUGCUUGCGGAGGGAGACCGCGUCCGAAGAGGCAGCAGAAUGUUUUCCUGUAUAUUUAAUAUUUCUAUAUAGGGCCCUGGUGAAACCACAAAUGGACUGUCAUGUACAGUUCUGGUAAGUCCAACCAAGAACUCCUGCAUGUAACAGGACGAGUGCAAAAAGAGUUCAAACAAACUUCUCUACGGGAGAUUAAGCAUACAAGGACUUUACGUUCCAGAGUUUAAAAACAAAACGAGUGAUGAUCUCAUCAAAACAUGCAAAAUUCUUGCGGGGCUAAACAGGUUCGAUGCAAAGUUGAUGUUUCCCCUGUGAAGUGGCAAAGCCAGAACAAUUGCCAAUGCCUGCAACCCUACAGUAUUUGCACAACGUGCCCCCAGCUCCAAUAAAGCUUGUUCCAAAGGUCGAAUCCUUUUUUGGUAAUUAGCAAACAUGUGAUCUUGAUGCGGUACAACUUCAGCGUAGCCACGCGUAAGCUAACCGCAGCUGAACAUUACCGAGUGCUAUUCAGCGGUCAGCAAAAGAUACAUCUGCCAAGCCCCAGCUACAAACCAAGCACGAACUCGGAACUUAUUCCCUUCACGCUAACUGAUGUGACUGGUUACCAGAAAAAACGAGCAACACGGAAUACAAAGCAGCCACGCGUGCUCUGCUGCUGUUUUCUUUUUUUGACUGACUGUGAAUGAACAAAAGCAGCACAGCCACCUCGUGUAGAUAAUGGACUGCCUUCAUACAAUGCUCUCGAUAAACUGCAUCUCCAAAUGUUCAUCUUCAUUGUAACAUACAAGAUGACAGAGAAGACACCGGAGAGAACCGGUCGUAGGAUUCCACCCGGUGGGGGACCACGAUUCGAUGGAGCAAGGUGACGGGGAACACGGAGGACUGAUGUUGCUGAGGGUCUUCUGUCUCGGUGAGCUUGAACGGGAGACUUCUGUUUAGAGUCACGUGUCGGGCUUAAGCUGGGUGGACUAUUUGACAAUGCUGAUGAAGGAGCUGGGUAAAAAAAAAAGUUUAAUAUUAUAGUUGGGCUUCAAUUUUUGAAAAACUUUAAUUAAUUUACUUUGCAUUUGCAUUGACAAUCUAUAAUACUGGGAAAUCCACACAAGCAUCAUACGAAACACACACAAAAUGCUGGAGGACUGAGCAUUUGAAAACCUCCAUUCGAAUGUUGAAUGAGCAUCAUAUGAAAAUUAUCUGCAAGUUUCAACAAGUAUGUAAAUUGUGCAGUGGGGCUCACUUUACUUGGAUCCAAUCUAAUGUUCCAACAGUUGGGUGUCUCCCAAUUGGAAAACACGAAAAAGCUCAAACUCUCUGCACUGGCAAGCUGCCUCUUUUACAUUCAGUUAAAUUCUUAAGACUUGGUCAUACACAAUCUGCCUCCAAAUUCACUAGAUAAAUCAAGUGUGUAAUUACAGGGAUUGCAUGCUAAUACACAAUAUAGCGGUUACUUGAAAAAUAAAUCAAAACUUCUUAAAGACUGUGAGGGAUUCGACAGUGUAUGACUUGCUUCCAAAUAACCAAGUUCCAAGUUGAAAAAAGUACCUUAAAUAUUCUAUUACGAAACCAGCAAAGACAAAUGAUCCUAUAUAAUGAUAUUAGCAAAACUAGCAGAAUUAGCAAUAAGAGAAUUAGCAUACUAAGUGAAAUAAGCGGUCAACAGGAAAAAAAAAUCCAUGUCCAUAUUAAGUCUCUAUCUAACUAACGACACAAAGGGGGAAUACGUGACUAUACUCACGUACUUCUACCAUGCCCAAACCCACAUGACAAAUUACCAUAACCCGUAAUAAAAAUACCCAAGGCAAAAUAUAAUACAUCAAAAAUAGGUCCAUGACUCCUACACACAACUGGAAAAUAGAAACUUUAACCAAGUGCAUUUCAUGGCUAUCUGGAGAAAACAAAUAUCAGAGUUGUAUUGUACAUGAAUUCUUUGACAAUAUGGUGAACCUUUGAACCUUUUCUUGGUAGAUUGGUUUGGAGACAACUAGAUACAGAAGGGCUUCCAUUUGAGUUUUAUAUUGGCCCCACCAAAAUUAAAAUGUGUGAACAAUCUUAAAUAAGUGCUACGAAUUAUGUAAUAUUAAAUGAGAAUGUUAUUUCAAUUAACCGCCAAUAAAUACCGCAAUUAUUUAAAAUAAUAAUGAUGGCAUAUUGUAUGAUGCUUGCCCAACAGGGAGAGGAAAUGAAAAAUACCAUUUGUAUAUAUCAUGUCUCCUAGCAACAAGCUGACACAAGCUGCUUUGUCCCCUGAUCUUGCUGGAAAUCAGGAUGUAUAUAUCCCAUAUGUAUAGAAAACAAUA